UACGGAGGGGGCUAGCGUUGUUCGGAAUUACUGGGCGUAAAGCGCACGUAGGCGGCUUUGUAAGUUAGAGGUGAAAGCCCGGGGCUCAACUCCGGAACUGCCUUUAAGACUGCAUCGCUUGAACGAUGGAGAGGUAAGUGGAAUUCCGAGUGUAGAGGUGAAAUUCGUAGAUAUUCGGAAGAACACCAGUGGCGAAGGCGACUUACUGGACAUCUGUUGACGCUGAGGUGCGAAAGCGUGGGGAGCAAACAGG
RNAcentral lists this ribosomal RNA (253 nucleotides) under uncultured bacterium. Its description in RNAcentral is "partial 16S ribosomal RNA". It matches the Rfam family "Bacterial small subunit ribosomal RNA", at positions 524 to 776 of the family's 1533-position model. The record is from RNAcentral.